Long non-coding RNA from Sapajus apella (tufted capuchin), 319 nucleotides. RefSeq lists it as uncharacterized. Lineage: Eukaryota; Metazoa; Chordata; Mammalia; Primates; Cebidae. The transcript has 3 exons. The record is from RefSeq and is a predicted model, not a curated record.
GAUUUUUGCAUCAAUGUUCAUCAUGGAUAUUGACCUGAAAUUUUGUUUUUUCAUUGUGUCUCUGCUGGGUUUUGGUACUAGGAUGAUGUCGGUCUCAUGAAAUGAUGGGAAGAUUCCCUCCUUUUGUAUUGUUUGAUAGUUUCAGAAGGAAUGGAACCAGCUCCUCUUGUUACGUCUGGUAGAAUGUGGCUGUGAAUCCGUCUGGACCUGGACUUUUUUUGGUUGGAAGGCUAUUAAUUGAUGACUCUACUUCAUCCCUUGUUAUUGGUCUAUUCAGGGUUUCAACUUCCUCCUGGUUUAGUCUUGGGAGUGUACAAGU